CCUAGGAAAUUGCCCUGAUGUGGGGGAUAACCAUUGGAAACGAUGGCUAAUACCGCAUAAUACCUACGGGUCAAAGAGGGGGACCUUCGGGCCUCUCGCGUCAGGAUAUGCCUAGGUGGGAUUAGCUAGUUGGUGAGGUAAUGGCUCACCAAGGCGACGAUCCCUAGCUGGUCUGAGAGGAUGAUCAGCCACACUGGAACUGAGACACGGUCCAGACUCCUACGGGAGGCAGCAGUGGGGAAUAUUGCACAAUGGGCGCAAGCCUGAUGCAGCCAUGCCGCGUGUGUGAAGAAGGCCUUCGGGUUGUAAAGCACUUUCAGUCGUGAGGAAGGUAGUGUAGUUAAUAGCUGCAUUAUUUGACGUUAGCGACAGAAGAAGCACCGGCUAACUCCGUGCCAGCAGCCGCGGUAAUACGGAGGGUGCGAGCGUUAAUCGGAAUUACUGGGCGUAAAGCGCAUGCAGGUGGUUUGUUAAGUCAGAUGUGAAAGCCCGGGGCUCAACCUCGGAAUAGCAUUUGAAACUGGCAGACUAGAGUACUGUAGAGGGGGGUAGAAUUUCAGGUGUAGCGGUGAAAUGCGUAGAGAUCUGAAGGAAUACCGG
This 600-nucleotide ribosomal RNA is filed under the name Vibrio sp. N04IS11. RNAcentral's name for it is "bacterial SSU rRNA". It matches the Rfam family "Bacterial small subunit ribosomal RNA", at positions 116 to 712 of the family's 1533-position model. The record is from RNAcentral. Lineage: Bacteria; Pseudomonadati; Pseudomonadota; Gammaproteobacteria; Vibrionales; Vibrionaceae.